Molecule: ribosomal RNA, 819 nt
Filed under: Leuconostoc mesenteroides
Lineage: Bacteria; Bacillati; Bacillota; Bacilli; Lactobacillales; Lactobacillaceae
Description: bacterial SSU rRNA
Rfam family: Bacterial small subunit ribosomal RNA
Source: RNAcentral
CCUACUUCAUGCAAGUUCGAACGCACAGCGAAAGGUGCUUGCACCUUUCAAGUGAGUGGCGAACGGGUGAGUAACACGUGGACAACCUGCCUCAAGGCUGGGGAUAACAUUUGGAAACAGAUGCUAAUACCGAAUAAAACUUAGUGUCGCAUGACACAAAGUUAAAAGGCGCUUCGGCGUCACCUAGAGAUGGAUCCGCGGUGCAUUAGUUAGUUGGUGGGGUAAAGGCCUACCAAGACAAUGAUGCAUAGCCGAGUUGAGAGACUGAUCGGCCACAUUGGGACUGAGACACGGCCCAAACUCCUACGGGAGGCUGCAGUAGGGAAUCUUCCACAAUGGGCGAAAGCCUGAUGGAGCAACGCCGCGUGUGUGAUGAAGGCUUUCGGGUCGUAAAGCACUGUUGUAUGGGAAGAACAGCUAGAAUAGGAAAUGAUUUUAGUUUGACGGUACCAUACCAGAAAGGGACGGCUAAAUACGUGCCAGCAGCCGCGGUAAUACGUAUGUCCCGAGCGUUAUCCGGAUUUAUUGGGCGUAAAGCGAGCGCAGACGGUUUAUUAAGUCUGAUGUGAAAGCCCGGAGCUCAACUCCGGAAUGGCAUUGGAAACUGGUUAACUUGAGUGCAGUAGAGGUAAGUGGAACUCCAUGUGUAGCGGUGGAAAUGCGUAGAUAUAUGGAAGAACACCAGUGGCGAAGGCGGCUUACUGGACUGCAACUGACGUUUGAGGCUCGAAAGUGUGGGUAGCAAAACAGGAUUAGAUACCCUGGUAGUCCACACCGUAAACGAUGAACACUUAGGUGUUUAGGAGGUUUCCCGCCCUC